CUCGGCUCCCGAGCCCCCACCCGGGUCCGGGCCGCGCGCCCUCCCGCCAGCCUGCUGGCCCGGCGGGAGCUGCGCUGGGGGUCCCCGGCUCGGCCCGCCCCACGCCGCGCUCACCCCCGAGAGGAUGCGGAUUCCAACUUGGAUCGGGGGAGGGAACGUCCUGGAUGCCGAGCGCCUCCCGGCUGUUUGCUCUUCUUUAUUUGUUUUCUCCGAGAAAGGAGGAAAACGGAGAAAAGGGAAAAGGAAAGAAGCGGCACUGGCCGCGUCUGCCGGCGGACGCCGGCUGCGCAGGAGCGAGGCGAGAGUCGAGAAGAUCUUUGGUUCCGAGUGGUUGUCUGUCCUUAUGGAGAAAGUAAAAAAGUUAUCCAUAUGAUUUGUUCAAUUUUCACGCCUUCUAGAGUUUGAAAUCUGCCUGUGAAAAUACAGCCUUUGUUUUGAGAACAUUGUAAAGAAGACAUCGUCAAAGCUGAAAAUUCUUCUUGCUUAAGCUUGACACCCUGCAUUUUAAAAUGUAGAGCUCAGUUGCCACCAACAUGUGAACAUUUCCAACCUCUACUUUCUUUUUUAAGAUGUUCAAAAUCCCAAAUAAAAAAUUAGGUGAUAUACAAAUGGCCAGUAAGCGCAUGAAAAGAUAUUUAGCAUCACUAGUAAUUAGGGAAAUGCAAAUCAAAACCAUAAUAAGGUACCGCUUUAUGUCCACUUGGAUGGCUAUUAUGGACAAAACAGGAAAAAACAAUUGUGGAUGAAGAUGUGGAGAAAUGCAAACUUGUGUGCUGCUGGUCGGAAAGUAAAAUGGUAUAGCCACUGUGGAAAGCAUUCUGGCAGUACCUCCAAAAGUUAAACAAAAUUGCCAUGUGAUCCAGCAAUUCCAUUGCUGAAUAUGUGCCCAAAAAAUGGAAAGUUGAGACUCAAAUGGAUAUAUCUGCCCCCAUGUUCAUAGCAACUUUAUUCACAACAGCCACAAGGUGGAAACAACCCAUGUAUCUAUCAAAAGCCAGAUGUGGUGGUGCACAUCUGUAAUCCCAGCACUCAAGAGGCUGAGGCAGGAUUGCUGUGAGUUCAAGGACUACCUGGGCUACUUGGUGAGUUCAAGGCCAGCCUGAACUAGACUACAUAGCAAGACCCUGUCUCAAAACAACAAAUAUCUAUCAAGGGAUAAAUUGAUAAACAGUAUAUUUACUAGUCCACACAGUGGAAUAGUAUUCAGCCUUAAAAAGGAAUGAAGCCCUGACACGUGACAGUGUAGAUGAUCCUUGAAAACAAGCUAAGUGAAAUAAGCCAGGCACAAAAAUACAAAUAAUGUAUAAUUCCAUUUAUAUGAAGUAACUUAAAUAGGCAAAACCAUAGAAAGUACAAUGGUGAUUACCCAGGACCAAAGGGAGGGGAAUAUACAGUUAUUCUUUGAUGGGUAGAGUUUCUGUUUGGGAUGAUGACAAAGCUCUGGAAAUGGUUGGUGGUGGGUGAUGGUUGCACAGUAUUGUGAAUUGUACACUAAAAAACGGGUAACAUGGCAAAUUUGUGUCAUGUAGAUUUUACCACAAUAUAAAAAAAGUUGCAAAAGUCUUUUAGUAGUUUCAUAUUUAUUGUUAUUUCUAAAAAUAUUUUUCUCUUUCUUUUUUUUCCGUUUUGUUUUGUUUUUUGAGACAGGGUCUCCCUAUGUAGUUAAACGUGAAUGUGACUUCACUAUAUAGCCUAGGCUGGCCUCGAACUUGCUGCGAUCCUCCUGCCUCUGCCCCCACCCCCUACCCCCCACCUAGUGCUAGGAUUACAGGCAUGUACCUACAGACAAAGAGAAAAUGUUUUAAAAUACAUAUUAGUCAAUUUACAGGAUUAAUACUACUUACAAAUUUUUCUGUGUGUCUUUUAUAUACUACAGUUCUAAGGGCUGGGGAUAUAGUUCAGUGGUAGAGUGGCUGCUUUCCAAGUGCAAGGUCCAGAGUUCAUUUUCCAGCACUACAAAUACAUAAAUGUGUAUACACACGUGUAUACAUUUUGUACCUAUAUAUAGGGUAUUGAAAUGCUUGUUUUUCUUUUUCUUUCUUUUUUUUUUUUUUUUUUGGGUACUGGGGAUCGAACUCGGUCCUUGUGCUUGUGCAGUAGGCCGCGAAACCACUGAGCUAAAUCCCCAACCCAAAAUGCUUGUUUUUCAGUACUCUCCAUGAUCUCUUCCCAUGUGAGCCUAUUUAAUUGGUCAGUCUAAAUUCCUAGUGUUUCAAAGUGGACUUUGACAGACACAAAACAGGAGAGUGGUAAAAAUAACAGUAUCAGUGACAAAUAGCAGCACCAAUGUUUGUCCUUGACUUGCCACAGUGCUCACAAUGUGCUCAGCACUUGAUAAACAUCUUCAAUCGUCAUAGCUGCCCCUUAAAAAAAUACUAAUAUUAUCUCCAUUUUACAUAAGGGAAACUGAAAAUCCAAGACUUAACAUGACUUCCCCAAGGCCACACUGCUGGUGUUUAGUGAUGAGCUGUCAUUCUAAUCUUUAAACAGGAGAAAGGAAAUCCUACGAAUUAAAUGUGUUGUCAGAAGCUGGUUUAAAAAAAGAAAAGAUGGAAGCCAGGCACAGUGGCACAAGACUUAAUCCCAGCUAUUUGGGAGGCUGAAACAGGAAGACUGACUUCAAGUCCACCAUGGGGAACGUGAUGAGACACCUUUCUCAAAAAUAGAAAGACAAGGACUGGCAUAGUGUGGUGGAUUAUAAGGCUCUUCAGGAUCAAUUUUGGAACAAUAACAAAAAGUCAUGAUAAUAAAGCAGAAAGUAAAUGAUGAAUGACCUGAAAUAAGAGUCCCAUUUAUGUAUUUAUAUUCCAGAAGAAGAAACAACAUGAAGCAUUCACAAAGGUUGCAUCUAAUACUUUUCUUUUUAUAAAAUAUCUAUGAUCACUUUUCCCUGAUUGACUGUUAGAAAAAUACUAUUUUUUUUCAUGCAAUAUCAUUAAUCAAGUGGUAGGAGUUUGAAAUGUCCACACUGCACUCAGUUAUAUAGAAUACACUUUUUUUUUUUUCCUUUUAAAUUCUGGGGAACUCAGCUCAUCUGCUCAGAUGCUUCCGUUCCACUCAUUUUUGAGUGUAGGAAGUUAACUCCCUAUCAAACUGAUCUUUGCUCUGGCUCCAGGAGUUUCCAUUCUCUUUCUGUUUCUA
Molecule: long non-coding RNA, 3141 nt
Organism: Heterocephalus glaber (naked mole-rat)
Lineage: Eukaryota; Metazoa; Chordata; Mammalia; Rodentia; Bathyergidae
Source: Ensembl